This 92-nucleotide transfer RNA is filed under the name Trichosporon asahii var. asahii CBS 2479. Its description in RNAcentral is "tRNA-Thr". Lineage: Eukaryota; Fungi; Basidiomycota; Tremellomycetes; Trichosporonales; Trichosporonaceae. RNAcentral also lists the same sequence under 1 other name. The record is from RNAcentral.
GCCUUCUUAGUUCAGUGGCUAGAAUUUUCCACUAGUAGUGUCUCUCGAGAUUUGCUAUGGAACGGUCACCCGUUCGAUUCGGGUAGAAGGCA